AGGCUGCAGUGAAUUCUACAAAGAGGCUAUGGGAAAGAAACCUGGAAAGUACCCUUGGCUGUGUACAUUUGAGUAAAGAGAGCACUAUAAAAUCAAAAACCAAUGAAAUGGUUUCCAGAACACAGAACUAUUAAGCUUAAGAAAAGGACAGAAGGAACUGAAGAGAGAGGAACUGUUUUGGAGCAUCACACUUCCACCUCAGAAGAAAUAAGGAAGGAAGGAGGAGGGUGUUCCCACGGCUCUUCAACCAGGCCGGCUCUUCAGCCUACAUCCCCAUCUCAUCAAGUAAAAGGGAUUUUUCAACUGGACCAACCAGAUGGUUUAACAGUGCACUCCCACACCAUUCAACUACGCAAGGGAGAUACACUUAACAUAUGCAGUCGUAUAACACCUACUAACAUUUUCAAACAUUAAACCUUUAAAAAAGAGUUCUAAAGAAAUAGAAGCUUGAAGUAUCAUCUCUCAAGUAUAUAGACACUACUUCAUGGUGUGGUAAUAUAUGCAUAUAGAAGCUAGUAAACACCUCCAGGAGAUGCAAAAGGAAUUAGAACUGCCACAAGGUGCAAGCAAAACCUUGAGGUAAUCAAUCUGCAUCCCAUUUUGGAUGAGAAUAUUUGCAACUUUGAAGGUUAUUUUAAGGACAGCAGCAGAAGAAUUAUGGCAGCUCUUCACGGAAAAAAAAAUGGCAACAAUAAAAUCAGCAACUCCUGCCAAAUAAAUGGGCAUAAAAAAGAAAUCAUAGACUGCUGGCAAUGGUGGGGAAAAAGUUAUAAAAAUUGUCUCUGCACCAUCUUCCUU
Molecule: long non-coding RNA, 798 nt
Filed under: Homo sapiens (human)
Lineage: Eukaryota; Metazoa; Chordata; Mammalia; Primates; Hominidae
Description: HSALNT0375064
Source: RNAcentral